RNAcentral lists this transfer RNA (65 nucleotides) under Ceutorhynchus obstrictus. Its description in RNAcentral is "tRNA-Trp". The record is from RNAcentral. Lineage: Eukaryota; Metazoa; Arthropoda; Insecta; Coleoptera; Curculionidae.
AAAAAUUUAAGUUAAACUAAACUAUUGACCUUCAAAGUCAAACAUAGAAAAUUUUCUAAUUUUUA